AUUGAACGCUGGCGGCAUGCCUUACACAUGCAAGUCGAACGGCAGCACGGGUGCUUGCACCUGGUGGCGAGUGGCGGACGGGUGAGUAAUACAUCGGAACGUACCUUAUCGUGGGGGAUAACGCAGCGAAAGUUGCGCUAAUACCGCAUACGCCCUGAGGGGGAAAGCGGGGGACCGUAAGGCCUCGCGCGAUUAGAGCGGCCGAUGUCUGAUUAGCUUGUUGGUGAGGUAAAAGCUCACCAAGGCGAUGAUCAGUAGCUGGUCUGAGAGGACGAUCAGCCACACUGGGACUGAGACACGGCCCAGACUCCUACGGGAGGCAGCAGUGGGGAAUUUUGGACAAUGGGGGCAACCCUGAUCCAGCAAUGCCGCGUGAGUGAAGAAGGCCUUCGGGUUGUAAAGCUCUUUUGUCAGGGAAGAAACAGCAGCUCUAACACAGUCUGCGAAUGACGGUACCUGAAGAAUAAGCACCGGCUAACUACGUG
This 485-nucleotide ribosomal RNA is filed under the name uncultured bacterium. Its description in RNAcentral is "bacterial SSU rRNA". It matches the Rfam family "Bacterial small subunit ribosomal RNA", at positions 30 to 507 of the family's 1533-position model. The record is from RNAcentral.